RNAcentral lists this ribosomal RNA (492 nucleotides) under uncultured bacterium. RNAcentral's name for it is "partial 16S ribosomal RNA". It matches the Rfam family "Bacterial small subunit ribosomal RNA", at positions 29 to 507 of the family's 1533-position model. The record is from RNAcentral.
AGUGAACGCUGGCGGUAGGCCUAACACAUGCAAGUCGAACGGCAGCACAGUAAGAGCUUGCUCUUACGGGUGGCGAGUGGCGGACGGGUGAGGAAUACAUCGGAAUCUACUUUUUCGUGGGGGAUAACGUAGGGAAACUUACGCUAAUACCGCAUACGACCUACGGGUGAAAGCAGGGGAUCUUCGGACCUUGCGCGAUUGAAUGAGCCGAUGUCGGAUUAGCUAGUUGGCGGGGUAAAGGCCCACCAAGGCGACGAUCCGUAGCUGGUCUGAGAGGAUGAUCAGCCACACUGGAACUGAGACACGGUCCUGAGUCCUACGGGAGGCAGCAGUGGGGAAUAUUGGACAAUGGGCGCAAGCCUGAUCCAGCCAUACCGCGUGGGUGAAGAAGGCCUUCGGGUUGUAAAGCCCUUUUGUUGGGAAAGAAAAGCAGCAGGUUAAUACCCCGCGGUUCUGACGGUACCCAAAGAAGAAGCACCGGCUAACUUCGUG